Molecule: long non-coding RNA, 900 nt
Organism: Hippocampus zosterae (dwarf seahorse)
Lineage: Eukaryota; Metazoa; Chordata; Actinopteri; Syngnathiformes; Syngnathidae
Exons: 3
Source: RefSeq, a predicted model, not a curated record
GUUUGCAAUUAGAGCUAUGGCGCUAUAUAUUGUACUGUUAUUAUUGUUCUCAUCCAGAGUUUGUUUCGUGUACACUUCACUGAGGACACUGGCAAAGAAUGGGAAUCCGGAGUGCCGGGAGAAGCAUUUUAACACGGCACACGUGAGCUACGAUCGUUUAAUCGCUGCAAAAGUGCGUCCGAUGCUUCCGCGUCAGGCCUCUACUAAGGAGGCGGCGGACGGGGUUGAGAGGCUGUCAGCAGUGGCAGCACCUUGCUUUGGAGCAGCCUUGAUCAAGGCAGUAAAAGAAGAGUCAAAGACAACCAGAACGGUCAACUUCCUUCCUCUUGUCAAGAUGACACUUAAAAGUAAUAUUCUCCUUCACUUGGAGAAUCAUCGGCAGUGACAAAGUUCUCCGUAUUUUCCAUCCUCCGCGUACUGUACCACACAGUUCUUGGAAAUAAAGCUGCAUCCAGAGCCGGCUGCCUUUCACUCCAUCACUGCAUCUGCAGAUCCCUUUCACAGCAUUUUUUUUUCCACCCUGUUGCUUCUCUUGCGGGAUUACUUUUCUCAUCGGGCGGGGUGAGGAGAGGGAAGAGACGGUCCAGAAAAGGAGCCCAAAAAUAACUGUCAUGCAAGUGGACAGGCGGUGAUUAAGGAUUUAACUGAUCAUCCUGGAAGCUGACAGUGAACCAGCUAUUAUCUAGCAGGAAUCAAACGCCGCUCAAAGCCCUGGGAGGCUCGGUGCGCCCCUCAGCAUCUCUCAGCUCCUCUCGGAGGCCUGGCCGACAUGAAAGGAGACGUCAGGGUCUGGCAGCUGACAAGACACUGUGUGUGUGUGGAGGGUGGAAGAGAGAGAGAAAGCGAGUGUGUGUGUGUGUGUGUUUGUGUGUGUGUGUGUGAGAGAGAGAGAGAGAGAGG